UGCACCUAAAAGCGUUUUCUCGAUCGCUUUAUAAACGCCCUUGAAAAUCGUAGCUGUGUGCUAAAGCAAUUGUCGCGGUUGCAAGUGACUUGAUGCGUUUUAAUUGCUCAAUUCCAUUUACACUGUGCACAUAC
Small nucleolar RNA from Drosophila nasuta, 134 nucleotides. RefSeq annotates it as small nucleolar RNA psi28S-3316. The record is from RefSeq and is a predicted model, not a curated record. NCBI's taxonomy places the organism in Eukaryota, Metazoa, Arthropoda, Insecta, Diptera, Drosophilidae. The transcript has a single exon.